UGGGGAAUCUUCGGCAAUGGACGGAAGUCUGACCGAGCAACGCCGCGUGAGUGAAGAAGGUUUUCGGAUCGUAAAGCUCUGUUGUAAGAGAAGAACGAGUGUGAGAGUGGAAAGUUCACACUGUGACGGUAUCUUACCAGAAAGGGACGGCUAACUACGUGCCAGCAGCCGCGGUAAUACGUAGGUCCCGAGCGUUGUCCGGAUUUAUUGGGCGUAAAGCGAGCGCAGGCGGUUAGAUAAGUCUGAAGUUAAAGGCUGUGGCUUAACCAUAGUACGCUUUGGAAACUGUUUAACUUGAGUGCAAGAGGGGAGAGUGGAAUUCCAUGUGUAGCGGUGAAAUGCGUAGAUAUAUGGAGGAACACCGGUGGCGAAAGCGGCUCUCUGGCUUGUAACUGACGCUGAGGCUCGAAAGCGUGGGGAGCAAACAGGAUUAGAUACCCUGGUAGUCCACGCCGUAAACGAUGAGUGCUAGGUGUUAGACCCUUUCCGGGGUUUAGUGCCGCAGCUAACGCAUUAAGCACUCCGCCUGGGGAGUACGACCGCAAGGUUG
This 550-nucleotide ribosomal RNA is filed under the name uncultured bacterium. RNAcentral's name for it is "bacterial SSU rRNA". It matches the Rfam family "Bacterial small subunit ribosomal RNA", at positions 355 to 896 of the family's 1533-position model. The record is from RNAcentral.